RNAcentral lists this long non-coding RNA (556 nucleotides) under Ananas comosus (pineapple). Its description in RNAcentral is "long non-coding RNA (ACOM_LNC016994)". Lineage: Eukaryota; Viridiplantae; Streptophyta; Magnoliopsida; Poales; Bromeliaceae. The record is from RNAcentral.
ACCCGACCCGAAGUUAAAUGGGUAGGGUAUAUAUAUUUUUUUGUAACCAUUUCUUUUUAGGGUAUGGGUACAGUAUAUUAAUUACCCAGACCCGACCCGGUCCACGGACAUCUUUAUAUGACACCUCAAUGGUCCACAGCUAGCGAAUAGGAAUAAAAUUAUGAUUUGAUAUAUAAGAGAUUAUAAAUUCUAAUAUUAAUAAUUUGACUUAAGCAUUUUGGGCCGUUAAUUUUGGCCCGACAAGUUAUUAUUAUCAGCGGAUCGAAUCGUUAUAUUUGAUAUCGGAGCUGGUUCCUCAAUCGAAAGUGUGAAACGGGUCUCAUAUUUUCUUAUGAUCUUAGGCUGUAUAUAUGAUUAGACUAAUAAGAAAGUCUGUGACAUUCCAAUAGUUCUAUAUCAAAAAAAUCACGAAGCUUAAUAAAUAUAACUGAACUUAAAUAUUUUGAACCGACGGUUUAAAUCUAAUAAAUUAUUAUUACCAGCGAAUAAGGUAGUUAUAAUACAACUCAUAAAAGAAGUAUUAGUUGGUUAUUAUUAGUAAAAAAAGAGAAAAAGU